This 72-nucleotide transfer RNA is filed under the name Aedes aegypti (yellow fever mosquito). Its description in RNAcentral is "partial tRNA-OTHER". The record is from RNAcentral. Lineage: Eukaryota; Metazoa; Arthropoda; Insecta; Diptera; Culicidae.
GUGCUCGGCUGGAAUUAUAACACAGGACUCUUGUGUGCUAGACGAGCGCUUUACCAGCUGAGCUACCAAACC